Molecule: transfer RNA, 72 nt
Filed under: Ictidomys tridecemlineatus (thirteen-lined ground squirrel)
Lineage: Eukaryota; Metazoa; Chordata; Mammalia; Rodentia; Sciuridae
Description: Spermophilus tridecemlineatus (thirteen-lined ground squirrel) tRNA
Rfam family: tRNA
About the family: Transfer RNA (tRNA) molecules are approximately 80 nucleotides in length. Their secondary structure includes four short double-helical elements and three loops (D, anti-codon, and T loops).
Source: Rfam by way of RNAcentral
GGAGUUGUAGCUCAGUGGUAAAGCACUUGCCUCACAUGCAGGAUGUCCUGGGUUCGGUCCCCAGUACCACUC